Non-coding RNA from Paramuricea clavata, 1137 nucleotides. The record is from the annotation of a GenBank genome assembly. Lineage: Eukaryota; Metazoa; Cnidaria; Anthozoa; Malacalcyonacea; Plexauridae.
UGUAGUUUGGGAGAGUCAUUGUAUACGGACAGCAAUCAAUUGGAGAACAUGAAAGUUUUUGAAUUUUUAUUAUAAUCGACGAAAUAUACAGACAAUUUAAAAGCGAUAGUUGUGGACGAAGCCCAAUCUUGUUACUGAAUGGUGAGUGAGUGAUACUGAUAUAUUUGGUUGUUUCUCAAUAUUCUUUCUUUGCUAUAUUAAUGGUUAUCUGCAAGACUGUACACAUACAGACAACAUAUAUUCUGUUUAAUACGUCCGGUCUAAACGCUGCAUUUUACAUGUGCCAAGUCUAGAAAAGUUUGUUCAACCUUUUAAGUGCUACCAAAUUAUUUUACUCAGUUUAACAUGCCAGAUGAUUGAGUGUACUGGCCAGUGUGAGAGUGCUACUGCUCAAUGGGUUAAUCAGAUUAUCUAUUGUACUUUACUAUCUUACUGUCUAAUGUCAGACAAUUUUGCUCAUCAAGGGGAGAGUGGGUAUAAUUGCAAAGUAAUUACUUUGCCACUUUGGACAAAUGUAUAAGUUACAUAUGUUUACUACGCACCGGUAUGUACAUAAAUUCAACAUUUAAAUCAAAAUGUCAAACUUUAUUAUUUGAGUCAAACUUUAUUAUUUGAGUCAAACCAUGUAAAUUCACAUUAGACUUGGCACAUGUAAAUGCAAAUAUUAUGUGCAUCCCCCUCGCCCCUACACCCCCCCCCCUCGCCCCUCCCCCACCUUAAUCUUGGUAUCCCCAGAUAACGAUUGUUUGUAGGAUAUACAACUACCUGUAAGGUAUCAUGUGUGACUGCAUACUACAAGCUAGUAUCAUAUUGUACAGUUUAAUACAUAUAUAUGACUUGAAAUAUGUAUUUUCUUGCCAUGCCAUAUUCAAUCAUAAAAUUAUCCAUGUUGCUGUUAAAUUAUGAUUGGCCUAAAAUUUUUGGCUAAAGAUUGUUUUAAUUUAUAAACAUUGUACUACUACUUUAGGAAGGAUUUCAGGCCUUGCUAUGAAAGGAUUGGUAUGUCGGGAAGUUUGUUUCUUCAUCAACUCAGAGAAAGAAAUUGCAUGAACUCAGAGAAAGAAAUUUCAUCAACUCAGAGAAAGAGAGAAAUUACAUGAACAAAAUAAACAAUUUUGUGUCAUUGAUAUAAAUAAU